This 324-nucleotide ribosomal RNA is filed under the name uncultured bacterium. RNAcentral's name for it is "bacterial SSU rRNA". It matches the Rfam family "Bacterial small subunit ribosomal RNA", at positions 28 to 334 of the family's 1533-position model. The record is from RNAcentral.
GAUGAACGCUGGCGGCGUGCCUAACACAUGCAAGUCGAACGGACAUUUUUUUGGAAAGCUCUUCGGAACUGGAAUCUAAAUGUUAGUGGCGGACGGGUGAGUAACGCGUGAGCAAUCUGCCUUUCAGAGGGGGAUAACAGCCGGAAACGGCUGCUAAUACCGCAUAAGCGCACAGUACCGCAUGGUACGGUGUGAAAAACUCCGGUGGUAUGAGAUGGACCCGCGUCUGAUUAGGUAGUUGGUGGGGUAACGGCCUACCAGCCGACGAUCAGUAGCCGACCUGAGAGGGUGACCGGCCACAGUUGGGACUGAGACACGGCCCAA